CCUACGGGAGGCAGCAGUGGGGAAUAUUGGACAAUGGGCGAAAGCCUGAUCCAGCAAUGCCGCGUGAGUGAUGAAGGCCUUAGGGUUGUAAAGCUCUUUUACCAGGGAUGAUAAUGACAGUACCUGGAGAAUAAGCUCCGGCUAACUCCGUGCCAGCAGCCGCGGUAAUACGGAGGGAGCUAGCGUUGUUCGGAAUUACUGGGCGUAAAGAGUACGUAGGCGGUGAUUCAAGUCAGAGGUGAAAGCCUGGAGCUCAACUCCAGAACUGCCUUUGAAACUAGAUCGCUAGAAUCAUGGAGAGGUUAGUGGAAUUCCGAGUGUAGAGGUGAAAUUCGUAGAUAUUCGGAAGAACACCAGUGGCGAAGGCGACUAACUGGACAUGUAUUGACGCUGAGGUACGAAAGCGUGGGGAGCAAACAGGAUUAGAUACCCUGGUAGUCCACGCCGUAAACGAUGAUAACUAGCUGUUCGGGGUCUACGAUCCUGAGUGGCGCAGCUAACGCAUUAAGUUAUCCGCCUGGGGAGUACGGUCGCAAGAUUAAAACUCAAAUGAAUUGACGG
This 561-nucleotide ribosomal RNA is filed under the name uncultured bacterium. RNAcentral's name for it is "bacterial SSU rRNA". It matches the Rfam family "Bacterial small subunit ribosomal RNA", at positions 338 to 916 of the family's 1533-position model. The record is from RNAcentral.